AUCAUGGCUCAGAAUCAACGCUGGCGGCGUGCCUCAGACAUGCAAGUCGAACGAUUAAAGCUCUCUUCGGAGAGUGUAUAGAGUGGCGCACGGGUGAGUAACACGUAAGUAAUCUACCCUCGAGUGGGGAAUAACAACCGGAAACGGUUGCUAAUACCGCAUAAUGCAGCGGCACCGCAAGGUGACAGUUGUUAAAGAUUUAUCGCUUGAGGAGGAGCUUGCGGCAGAUUAGCUAGUUGGUAGGGUAACGGCUUACCAAGGCUACGAUCUGUAACCGGUCUAAGAGGACGGUCGGUCACACUGACACUGAAUAACGGGUCAGACUCCUACGGGAGGCAGCAGUCGGGAAUUUUGGGCAAUGGGCGAAAGCCUGACCCAGCAACGCCGCGUGAAGGAUGAAGUAUUUCGGUAUGUAAACUUCGAAAGAAUAGGAAGAAUUAAUGACGGUACUAUUUAUAAGGUCCGGCUAACUACGUG
RNAcentral lists this ribosomal RNA (477 nucleotides) under uncultured bacterium. Its description in RNAcentral is "bacterial SSU rRNA". It matches the Rfam family "Bacterial small subunit ribosomal RNA", at positions 16 to 507 of the family's 1533-position model. The record is from RNAcentral.